This 406-nucleotide ribosomal RNA is filed under the name uncultured bacterium. Its description in RNAcentral is "partial 16S ribosomal RNA". It matches the Rfam family "Bacterial small subunit ribosomal RNA", at positions 30 to 526 of the family's 1533-position model. The record is from RNAcentral.
AUUGAACGCUGGCGGCAGGCCUAACACAUGCAAGUCGAGCGAGCGGCGGACGGGUGAGAAAUGUCUGGGAAACUGCCUGUUGGAGAGGGGUAACUACUGUAAACGGUAGCUAAUACCGCAUACCCUCUGAUGUGCCCCGAUGGGAUUAGCUAGUGGGUGGGGUAAUGGCUCACCUAGGCGACGAUCCCUAGCUGGUCUGAGAGGAUGACCAGCCACACUGGAACUGAGACACGGUCCAGACUCCUACGGGAGGCAGCAGUGGGGAAUAUUGUACAAUGGGCGCAAGCCUGAUGCAGCCAUGCCGCGUGUGUGAAGAAGGCCUUCGGGUUGUAAAGCACUUUCAGCGGGGAGGCGUUACCCGCAGAAGAAGCACCGGCUAACUCCGUGCCAGCAGCCGCGGUAAUAC